This 768-nucleotide ribosomal RNA is filed under the name uncultured bacterium. RNAcentral describes it as "bacterial SSU rRNA". It matches the Rfam family "Bacterial small subunit ribosomal RNA", at positions 59 to 795 of the family's 1533-position model. The record is from RNAcentral.
CAGUCGAACGAAACUUCUUUAUCACCGAGUGCUUGCACUCACCGAUACAGAGUUGAGUGGCGAACGGGUGAGUAACACGUGGGCAACCUGCCCAAAAGAGGGGGAUAACACUUGGAAACAGGUGCUAAUACCGCAUAACCAUAGUUACCGCAUGGUAACUAUGUAAAAGGUGGCUAUACUACCGCUUUUGGAUGGGCCCGCGGCGCAUUAGCUAGUUGGUAGGGUAAAGGCUUACCAAGGCAAUGAUGCGUAGCCGAAUUGAGAGGUUGAUCGGCCACAUUGGGACUGAGACACGGCCCAAACUCCUACGGGAGGCAGCAGUAGGGAAUCUUCCACAAUGGGCGAAAGCCUGAUGGAGCAACGCCGCGUGGGUGAAGAAGGUCUUCGGAUCGUAAAACCCUGUUGUUAGAGAAGAAAGUGCGUGAGAGUAACUGUUCACGUUUCGACGGUAUCUAACCAGAAAGCCACGGCUAACUACGUGCCAGCAGCCGCGGUAAUACGUAGGUGGCAAGCGUUAUCCGGAUUUAUUGGGCGUAAAGGGAACGCAGGCGGUCUUUUAAGUCUGAUGUGAAAGCCUUCGGCUUAACCGGAGUAGUGCAUUGGAAACUGGAGACUUGAGUGCAGAAGAGGAGAGUGGAACUCCAUGUGUAGCGGUGAAAUGCGUAGAUAUAUGGAAGAACACCAGUGGCGAAAGCGGCUCUCUGGUCUGUAACUGACGCUGAGGUUCGAAAGCGUGGGUAGCAAACAGGAUUAGAUACCCUGGUAGUC